Molecule: ribosomal RNA, 607 nt
Filed under: Sporothrix cavum
Lineage: Eukaryota; Fungi; Ascomycota; Sordariomycetes; Ophiostomatales; Ophiostomataceae
Description: partial 28S ribosomal RNA
Rfam family: Eukaryotic large subunit ribosomal RNA
Source: RNAcentral
UUGACCUCGGAUCAGGUAGGACUACCCGCUGAACUUAAGCAUAUCAAUAAGCGGAGGAAAAGAAACCAACAGGGAUUGCCCCAGUAACGGCGAGUGAAGCGGCAACAGCUCAAAUUUGAAAUCUGGCCCCCCGGGCCCGAGUUGUAAUUUGGAGAGGAUGCUUUUGGCGCGGCGCCGUCCGAGUUCCUUGGAACAGGACGCCACAGAGGGUGAGAGCCCCGUACGGACGGACGCCUAGCCUCUACAAAGCUCCUUCGACGAGUCGAGUAGUUUGGGAAUGCUGCUCAAAAUGGGAGGUAAAUUUCUUCUAAAGCUAAAUACCGGCCAGAGACCGAUAGCGCACAAGUAGAGUGAUCGAAAGAUGAAAAGCACUUUGAAAAGAGGGUUAAAAAGUACGUGAAAUUGUUGAAAGGGAAGCGCCUGUGACCAGACUUGCGCCCCGCGGACCACCCGGCGUUCUCGCCGGUGCACUCCGCGGUGCGCAGGCCAGCAUCGGUUCUCCCAGGGGGACAAAGGCCGCGGGAACGUAGCUCCUUCGGGAGUGUUAUAGCCCGUGGCGGCAUGCCCCUGGGGGGACCGAGGACCGCGCUUCGGCAAGGAUGCUGGC